UGGUUGGUUCCAGAGCCAAAGGCUUGGCCCGGAAGUACAGAAACUCCAGACAACGGGUGUGUAGCCACACCACAGCUGCAUCUGAGGGCAUUUCGGAAUAAGCACAGAUGUCUUUAGGGUGGCGGUGGAGUUCUGAGCCCAUGAAAUGCUGAUAAAGCAUUUUAAUCGACCACCUCGUUGCUGGGCCGCCAGCACCCAAGCAGUCAGCAGUAUCCAAUACUUGUUAAAAUGAUUUUAUCGUUGUAGCCUCCUGUUCUGCAUUUUCAACUAAAAAUCACUGAAAGCAAAGUAUUCCAACGCAAGUCAAUCACUGAAGGAAAGAAGAGGAAGGCGCUGGGAAGUCACACCAUCGUUUCCUAUAAAUUUUCUGGAAGAGAGAAAACGCUUUGCUUUCUUAAUAGCUGGUUCAGGCACAUGAGGCCUACCGACUCAUCUUCUGAUUCAGUGUCAGACAUUUACAGCAGCAAGGCCGAGUUCCUGAGCCACUUAAGGAGGCCUGCUGGAUCUAUGCAACGAGACAGCCAAAAGCAGAGCUGAAGUGUCUCUAUGAAUCUGCUAAUUCAUACUUUCUUGGAGUGCGGGCAGUAGUCUUCCUGCCUAGGCAUGGAGUUCAGUGUGGCGUUUGGACUCAUGACCCUGAGAUCAAGGCCUGAGCUGAAAUGAAGAGUCAGAUGUUUAACCGACUGAGCCACCCAGGCGCCCCUCCAGACCUUCUUAAGUGAAGGGUGAGACAGGCAAAGCUCGCAGAGGUGGGUGCUUGGGCAGGCCGACGUGUGUUGAAGGGGAACAUGGUGUUUGUUUUAAAACCUUAAGCUGAAUGGUGCUUAAUUCCAGAACUCUGUCAUAGAUGAGCCUGUAAUUGCCACAUGCCACAGUAAUUACAGCGGCUAAAACAAAGGCUGUGAUCCCAAAUUACAAUCCGUUCUACGUUCCCGACGGCAUCCCAUCUCCUCACCGUCACCCAGUCCUGAGAAAAGUCUAGCUUUGUAUCACAGGGUGACUAACCAACAAACUGGGACAAAAAAUGGAUGAUAAAUAUGGGAAUCAGAUGCAGAACCAUGACAAAAACACUGCACAUUUCCAUGAAAUAUUUUGCAACACAAUGAAUGGGACUGGAAAACAGAAAUUGUGAAGUCUUGUGCAUUACAUACCACAUAAGCUCAUUAAAUAUUUCUUUAAUGAGUCAACUAAGUGAUUACUGUUCAUUGCUAACACUGUGUCAGAGUCAGCAACGUAUGCUCAAAAUGAGUAAGGCAGGACUGCUGAAAUGGAUAUUUUGGUUGCGAAGACAGAAAUAAAACAAAUCAAACAAUCAGAUAGAUAAUUAAGUCCUAAACUAGGAGGUGGACUAACUAUAAAGCACAGGGGACAAAACCACAUAGACUUGGGCUGUACCCAGCCCUGAUGACCUAUUUUGCUUGGCAUACAAUUGUUUUUAAAGAUUUUAAAUUAAAUUCCAACAUUUAAAAAUUAGGAGAUUUCAAGUAAAAAACAAAACAGAUUUUCUCUUGAAGAUCUCAUGGGAGCUCUUGCAACAGCUGGCCUGCACUUUCCUUAGGGCCACAUUGGGCAGCUGUUCCAUUAAAUGAAGUAUGUGCCACAACCACUCAAUGAUACCAACGGCUUGGCCCCCCUCGGUCUUUGCAUUUGGGAUCAGUGUUCCAGAAAAGUCAUGGCAAAUGAGGAUAAGUAGAGAUCAAGAUGGAAAAGGCCCCAAGGAUAGGGCUUUAUGGGGCCAGGCCUUGUAAACAGAGGAGGAUCUGCAUCUUACACGGGGCAGGGCAGUGCAGGCUGGGAGAAGCCCUGCAGGCUUGUCUGGAAGGCCCCAGGAGACUGACCCAGAGCACAGGGGAGUGCUGCGGAGUCACUGGGAAGUUUCCUCAGAGGGUUGGAGCCAAAUUAUGUGAAGAAUUUUAAAAAACCCAGCUAAGGAGUUUGAGUAUGGGGCGGUGAGCCGUGGGAAGACGUUAGAGGAUCCUGAGUGAGGCAGUUACAAACCCAUGGUGUUUUUCAAAGCAGGGGUUUUCAGCGUGUGUUGGGUGGAUUCAGGGCGGGAAGGAGAGGAGGCGUUUUGCGGGGUGGCGACCUGGCCGGGAGUCGGAGUCGGGGCAGCCCUGCAGGCCUGAGGGGACUGCGGUGACUCGGAGAAGCGCGCGCAACGUGAAAUAAGAGCUGCCAACAGACAGUAAGUAAGAGUAAGGGAAGAGACAUGGGAAGCUCCGACUGCAGCAUCGAGCUUUACACAGCAGCAGCCGCUGCCAUUUGUGAAGCGCCUGCGGUGCGCACAGAGUCAUGCGCUUUCCAGACAGGAUCCUGGGAACCCUACGAAGCCGGCAUGAUGCUCCUCGCCGGCACCGCCACUCGGUGACUAAGGAAACUGACAUCACGUGCCGGUGCGUGGGAGCUGGGACCUGAGCCGGGACUAUGGGACCCUACGAGCAGGGUGGGAGAGGCUGGUGGACGGGGCACGUGAAGCUUUCUACAGACUGUGCUGGAGACGAGAGCCGUUCAGGUGGAUCUCCUUCCCCGGCACUUGAAAUCACAGUCCUGGGGUUCUGGUGAGAGAUGAGGACCACAUCUGUGCACUGAACGAGUUCGGGCAGCAGGAUGCUUUGUGAGUUAGCUGUUUCUGACAUUAUCUGCAGAGAGGUGAUUACUAAAGACAUGGGGAAAUGUGUUGGGGUAUUAAGAAUGGAUUUUAAUAAAAUCAGCUACCAAUCAA
Mustela erminea (ermine) is the source of this 2722-nucleotide long non-coding RNA. RefSeq lists it as uncharacterized. The record is from RefSeq and is a predicted model, not a curated record. The transcript has 5 exons. NCBI's taxonomy places the organism in Eukaryota, Metazoa, Chordata, Mammalia, Carnivora, Mustelidae.